AUCCACCUGGCGAGUCUCGAAUAGGACGAAACGCGCGUCCUGGAU
This 45-nucleotide non-coding RNA is filed under the name Schistosoma mansoni. Lineage: Eukaryota; Metazoa; Platyhelminthes; Trematoda; Strigeidida; Schistosomatidae. The record is from RNAcentral.